GACGGAGGAGGCGAGCGUUGUCCGGAGUCACUGGGCGUAAAGCGCGCGCAGGCGGCAACCUAAGUGUCGUGUGAAAGCCCCCGGCUCAACCGGGGGAGGCCAUGGCAAACUGGGUCGCUCGAGCUGCGGAGAGGCCCCUCGAAUUGCCGGUGUAGCGGUGAAAUGCGUAGAGAUCGGCAGGAAGACCAAGGGGGAAGCCAGGGGGCUGGCCGCAGGCUGACGCUGAGGCGCGACAGCGUGGGGAGCAAACCGG
Molecule: ribosomal RNA, 253 nt
Filed under: uncultured bacterium
Lineage: Bacteria
Description: partial 16S ribosomal RNA
Rfam family: Bacterial small subunit ribosomal RNA
Source: RNAcentral